Molecule: ribosomal RNA, 468 nt
Filed under: uncultured bacterium
Lineage: Bacteria
Description: partial 16S ribosomal RNA
Rfam family: Bacterial small subunit ribosomal RNA
Source: RNAcentral
GACGAACGCUGGCGGCGUGCUUAACACAUGCAAGUCGAACGGAAAGGCCCUGCUUUUGUGGGGUGCUCGAGUGGCGAACGGGUGAGUAACACGUGAGUAACCUGCCCUUGACUUUGGGAUAACUUCAGGAAACUGGGGCUAAUACCGGAUAGGAGCUCCUGCUGCAUGGUGGGGGUUGGAAAGUUUCGGCGGUUGGGGAUGGACUCGCGGCUUAUCAGCUUGUUGGUGGGGUAGUGGCUUACCAAGGCUUUGACGGGUAGCCGGCCUGAGAGGGUGACCGGCCACAUUGGGACUGAGAUACGGCGCAGACUCCUACGGGAGGCAGCAGUGGGGAAUAUUGCACAAUGGGGGGAAGCCUGAUGCAGCAACGCCGCGUGCGGGAUGACGGCCUUCGGGUUGUAAACCGCUUUCGCCUGUGACGAAGCGUGAGUGACGGUAAUGGGUAAAGAAGCACCGGCUAACUACGUG